UCCAACAGGAAGUUUUUUAAUCAUUCAAGAAGACAGUUAAAGACAGUAAAUUUAAUAUACAUGCCCUGUUUAACUUCUUUUACCGCCUAUAGGGGACGUAGAUUUUUAACUUUCCUAGUUGAUUUAAACUCAAAGCAUGAAGACUACGUAUGCGAAUGUUUACUUAAUGCUGCACUCUGGGCUACAGGAAGUCAGCUACUAAAGUGUAGUUACAUUAGGCGUAGAUAUUUAUAAACCAACUGCAACUAGUGACCUAGGAUUCAAUUACAACACCAACCCUCGUAUUUCAGCGUAUGGGCAAAUUACCAGUGGAGUCAAGAAUAAAUUCAUUCUGCCCUACUGACGCUUUAGAUCGGGUUGCACAAUCUCGGGGCAGAACUGCCUUCGUCUAGCCCUAAAGCAUCAGGUACUAAAUACUGUACUAAGUUAGCGUCAGGACAUUUUAAAGCGGGAAGGAAACUCAAGGGUCGCCUGAACCAACUUAGCCAGCCCAUAAUCCCGAAUUCAGGAAUUUGUCACGUCACUUGAGAUCAGAACGAAAUUAAGUUUUGAUCCCUUUGAGAUCUCUUAGCGCACAAAGUCAGGCUAUCACUACAAGGGGAGUCCGACCCUGGCUGUAGAAAAACUACUUGGUGCGGAACUCGAGUCUCUUCCGCCCACCGUGGGGGACCGCACCGGUCAGGUCCAGCGAGGAGCCCCGCCGCGAGUUUGGGGGCGCAGCCGGGCCCGGCGGGGGCGGCGAGCGCGCGUCCCCCCGCCCGCUCAGGCAGCGUCGAGGCGCGAGCAGCUCAGCCACCCUUGCAGAGGGAGCUCUCGACAGCUCUGGGGUCCCUCUGCUCGCAGCCGCAGCAGCGCCGCCUGCGCCACUCGGCGGAGACGGAGACCAGCGGCGGCGGUGCGCGGACUGGGAGCGACCGCCAAGCAGCCGAGCGGCAGGGGUAUGCUCGCAAAGCGGCCGGGAAACAGGGAUAUGUCCUAUUUCAUGGAAUUGACUCCAAAGACCAAGAAAUGGAGAGCCAAACCAAAAGGAGAGGAUGCUUCAGGCUGGACAGAAACAAGCUGAGAGCAAAAGCUUUGAAAACAGGAGGAAGAAGAGUGGGAGACAGGAGAAAAGAUUCAGAUGCAAGAUGCCCAAGGACCCCAGUUUGAGAAGUGCUUAACCUCCUCUCUCUCCUUGAAGACCUGGUGCUGUGCACCCUACACUAGCAAAAACCACCACUGGGCAACCCACCUCCCAGGCUUCUCUGUGCCUGCACCUGCUGGAACUGAGCUGGAACCACAGAGCAAUUCUCUCAACCUCAGCCAGGCUCUCAUUUCCCACCGGGGAAAUCCUCAUGUGUGGCCCUCCUCAGCUUUCUUCCUUCUCACAGAUGAUGAGUGUUUCAGACUUUCUCCACAAGCCUCAAACAAGCUCAAGUCACUGCCACAUAAAAAAUGAAAACAACCCUGGCAACUGCCAAAAUGCCCAUCCGUAGAUAAUGGAACCUAUACAGCAAAAAGAAUGGACAAUAUAUAACUGCACACAGCAAUAUGGAUGAAUCCUACAGACAUAAAGAAGCAGCAGGACCACAAGAGAGGACAUGUGUAUGGUUCCCUUGAUAUGAAAGUUCAAAAACAGGCAGAACUCAUCUAUGGUGAUAAAAGUCUGAAUACUAGUUACCCUUUGGGAGUCGUUACUGGAAGGGGGCGCAAGGGGGCUUCCAGGGUGCUGGUAAUGUUCUGUAUUUCCUAAUCUGGGUUCUAUUUCCUGAUCCUAUGUGGGUGUGUUCCCUUGUGAAAAAUGGGCUGAGCUGUACACUUAGGACAUGCACCCUCUCUGUAGGUAUAUUUUAAUAUAAAGUUGACUUUAAUAACUCCAAAAUGAAAUGACUCUUCUGUGGACCUCACGUCUCUUUCCAGCGACCCCACCCAUGGUUCCAUUUGGCCUUUUCAGAGUCAAAUUUCUUGAAGAGAUGUCUACCUCGAUUUCCUCUCCAUGACCAGCCAGUUCUCUUCCCACUCUGGUCCACCUUCCACACCCACCACUCCCCUGACUGGUCAGUGACCUCCCUGUUGCUGAAUCCAGUGUCCAAGGCCUAGUCCUUAUCAUGCUUGAUCUCAGUAAAGCUUUUCACUUCUGUGGCUCUCUUCCUCUUCUUUGAGCCCUUGAAUUUCAAGAGGCAACAACAUGCUCCUGGUUUUCUACCUAUCUCUCUCUGGCUGGACAUCUUAUUUUCCCACAGGAGAUCUGUCUUUCUCAUCAUCCCAGAAUGGGCCUCAGCCUCCUCACUCUUGGGCUGGGUACAUCUCCCACACCUCAAUACCAUCUAAACGUUGCCAACUUUCUUAUCUCUUCCUUGCCCAAACGGCUCUUCUGAGCACCAGGCCUCUGUAGCCAACUGCCUGCUUGUCACCUCCCCGGAAGCUGAGCGACAAUGCAGAGUGGGCUAUUGGGGGAUGUGCUGCGUUUGAGGUCCCCAAGCUGAAUCCACCAAUUUCCUUCUCAAACUUGACUCUCCCCAGUCAACCUCUCUGUGGCAGCCCCAGCCCCUCUUUACCCAGUUGUUCAAGACAGAAACUAGGAGUCAUCCUGGAUGCCUCUGUCUCUGUUACCCCCACAUCCACUCAGCCGCCCACUCCUGCCAUCUCUGGAAACUGCUCCCCUCACCUCCACUCCCAUAGUUAGAAUUCGAGUCCAAGCUGUCACCGCCUCUCAUCUAGAACCCUACUGCAGCCUCCUAAUGGGCUCCCUGUCUCCACUGUAACCCACGAUGACCCAUUCUUUUUUUUUUCUUAAGGGUAUCAAGCUUUAUUUUACAUGACUGCCUACAUUUUUUUUUUUUUUAAGUAAGCUCUGCGCCCAACGUGGGGCUUGAACUCGAGACCCCGAGAUCAAGAGUUGCAUGCUCUACUAACUGAGCCCACAGGUGCCCCCUGCACUGUUUAUUCAAUAACAACAUUGCUCUUCUUAAAAUUCCAGUCAUCUCCCAAUGCCAAAAACCGUGCUUUGACAAGUGCUUUCUAUAGGCCAGGCCCUGCGCUUAAUUAACAAACAUCAUCUCAUUUAAUUCUGGUAACAACCCUAACAGGGGUAAAUCUUAUUAGCCCCAUCUUGCAGAUGAGAAACCUGAGACUAACUGGCUGUGUGACCUCGGGCAUGCCAUUUCUUAACCUUUUUGGGCUUCGGAUAUCCCUCUGUUAAAUGAGCAUAAUAACAACAACAAUGGUCUCCCAGGGCUGUUGGGAGUUUGAAAUUAGCUACUUCUCUCUCUAGGGAGUGUUUGGGGAAGGGAAAAUUGUAUGUGGGGUAGGGAAGUUGGGGUGGGCACACUACCACACUUUGAGCACACAACAAAUAUUAACUGCUGUUAUUAAUAAUCACUAAUCUGCCCAAGAUUACACAGCUGGUAAGUGGGAGGGCCAGGAUUCAAAUCCAGACAGUCAGACCCCAGGACUCUGAGUCUUUAACAUCCCUCUCUCUGACUCUUGUGAAACAUCCAUGGGUGACUCCCUACCCCAGGGAUAAAGUCUAGAUUCUCUGACAUGACCCCCAACACCCUUCAGCCUCUGUGCCUCCCCACAUAUACCUUCAACCAGUCCUCCACUCAGUCCCCCUGCUCCUCUCAUGGUCUUUCUGUUCCAGCUACUGUGACCCUCUCAAAACCUGCAAGGCUCUUCAGCCUUUAAGCAACAACCUCCAUUGCUCCUGUAUCCUCCUCCCAUACUCUCAACCUGAACAACUCCCUCUCUUUUUUCAUGUCUUACCCUAUGACUUCUUCCCGGAAGCCUGCCCUGGGUUGGUUCCCCCUUUCAGGCGCCUCAUAGCUUCCUUCCUCUGACCCCUAAGACCACAUAGCUCAGUUGUCAGUUCUCCUUUAGUAUCUGUCUUCCAACCAGACUGUGAACUCUGGAAUCAGGGGCCUGUUUGUGGGGUUCACUGCUGUGCCCUCUGGGCCCCACACCAGGGAGAUGAGGGAGGGGGCUGAGUGAACCGGGCUGCCCGGACACAGGAAGAGCAGAUCCUGGGCUGUUGAAGGGGUAGAUUUUAAGUCUGUGCCCACCCCAACUCCCCUAUCCUGCAUACAAUCUUCCUUGUCCCUUCCCCACUUGCUGAUUAUAUCAGCAAGUAGCGUUCUGCUCCCUGGGCAUAAGGCAGGGUGGGGACCCUGGGAUUCUGGAACUGAGUGGGUAGGCUAGAAUCAGAGUAGGCUCACUGUCCUAACACUUUUCUUUCUCUGACUAGGGCUCUGCUGCCACCAACUCCCUAGUCCCUGACAGGGACCAGGAUGUUGGUCUGCACUCUCGCCAAAUGACCAUCAGAAUAUCCACCUGAAAUGUGACCAUUUCAGCAGGUGGAAAGGCAGGAUCUUCCCUGCUGCAGGGGAGAGAAAGAGCUGAACCCCUCUGAGCUAAGGGAGAGGGCCCACCUUAACUGGCAGGGGCUGAAUGAUGGGAGCCAGGGGACUCUCUGGACUCAUGGCAGCCCUGAAGUCUGUUCUGGACAUGGGAAAGAUCCCAGGUCCCAAAAGUUAUGGGGCCUGCAGCACAGCCAGCUCCAGGCAGAAGGGAAUGGAGCCCCGGAGGCCUGCAUGGCCCCAGAUUCCUCCACCCCCAAUACCCUCUAUGCCAAAAGUGGUGCACUUGUGUGGGACGGGAGGUCCCACCACCUGCACUGCCCAGCUCAGCGGUAUGCCCGGCCAGGCCAGCAGCCUAGCCAGGAGUCCCCGGUCCAGCCCCGCCCAGGCGCGGGGCUGCCCCAGACUGAGGUAAACAGACGCUAAAAAUAACCGGGGCAAGGGGCGGCUGCAAGAAUGGGGUCCCUAACCGAACCUGUCCGGGUCUCCAUGGCGACUGCCCCCAACCCCGGCUGCUGACGUCAUGCCGCAGCUGCCUGAGCGGGAGGGAGGGGGGAGCGCGCGCACGCGCGCGCGCGCGCGCAGCCUAGGACCCCCCACCCCGGAACGAGGCGGAGGCGGCCGGGUGGCUUCACUUCCUGCCGGCCCCCUCCCUGGUCAGCUGGUCACAUUCCCCGGCUGGCGGCGCCCUGGAAGCCUGGUGCAGGGCCUGGCAGGGUCGGGAGUCCCCAGCCGCAGUGAAGGGCCAGGGUUGACUGAACCUCGUCCUCCUCACCUGCCUUUCCACCCAGGGUGCACCCAGCCUGGCUCCCCGCGUGCGCCCCUCACCCCCACCCAAAUCAGGCCUCCAUCUCUGGCUGCUGCCCCACAGAACCCAGGAGGGGGAGGGGGGGUGGGAGUGGAAGCUAAGCCAGGCCUCCUUGUCCCGCUGGAGUAUUUUGUACCUCAUUGUUCGAUUCUCAUUCCCCACACCCUCUUCGUGCCACAAAGGUGGUAGGGCCAUGGCAAAAAUUCAGGUCUGGUUCUAGUUCCCACUUCUCCCUAAGCCAGUAUGUGUGACCUUGAGAAUAUUACUUAACCUCUCUGGGCCUGCUUCUGCAUCUGUCAGAUUGCUAUAACCCUCCUCAGAAGGCUGUGCUGAUGUGAAUGCUGCAGGCCCAGGGUGAGGUCCCACAGAUGGUGGCCAAGGCACCUUUGUUAUAUGAGACUGCACACAGUAGGUGCUCCGCCAGCUCGCCUGGACCCGAAUUAGGACCAGUCCAGUAGAACUGGCUAGGAAGGGUCAGUUCUGGAGACUGGACUCAGGCCUCAACAGGGAGAGGACAGAGGGUGCCCAGGGCAGACUUAGCCGAUCCCUAGCCUUGGUGAGCAGCUUCUUCCCCAAAACAGUUCUGCAGGGUGCCCAAGCCUGGCUGCUUGCAGACAGACCCCGCAUCA
This is a long non-coding RNA of Zalophus californianus (California sea lion), 5771 nucleotides long. RefSeq lists it as uncharacterized. Lineage: Eukaryota; Metazoa; Chordata; Mammalia; Carnivora; Otariidae. The transcript is spliced from 5 exons. The record is from RefSeq and is a predicted model, not a curated record.